RNAcentral lists this ribosomal RNA (492 nucleotides) under uncultured bacterium. Its description in RNAcentral is "bacterial SSU rRNA". It matches the Rfam family "Bacterial small subunit ribosomal RNA", at positions 27 to 507 of the family's 1533-position model. The record is from RNAcentral.
CGGAUGAACGCUAGCGGCAGGCCUAACACAUGCAAGUCGAACGGCAGCACAGGAGAGCUUGCUCUCUGGGUGGCGAGUGGCGGACGGGUGAGGAAUACAUCGGAAUCUACCUUUUCGUGGGGGAUAACGUAGGGAAACUUACGCUAAUACCGCAUAAGACCUUCGGGUGAAAGCAGGGGACCUUCGGGCCUUGCGCGGAUAGAUGAGCCGAUGUCGGAUUAGCUUGUUGGCGGGGUAAAAGCCCACCAAGGCGACGAUCCGUAGCUGGUCUGAGAGGAUGAUCAGCCACACUGGAACUGAGACACGGUCCAGACUCCUACGGGAGGCAGCAGUGGGGAAUAUUGGACAAUGGGCGCAAGCCUGAUCCAGCCAUACCGCGUGGGUGAAGAAGGCCUUCGGGUUGUAAAGCCCUUUUGUUGGGAAAGAAAACUUGCGGGCUAAUACCCAGCAAGUCUGACGGUACCCAAAGAAUAAGCACCGGCUAACUUCGUG